This 253-nucleotide ribosomal RNA is filed under the name uncultured bacterium. RNAcentral describes it as "partial 16S ribosomal RNA". It matches the Rfam family "Bacterial small subunit ribosomal RNA", at positions 524 to 776 of the family's 1533-position model. The record is from RNAcentral.
UACGUAGGGUGCAAGCGUUGUCCGGAAUUAUUGGGCGUAAAGAGCUCGUAGGCGGUCUGUCACGUCGGCUGUGAAAACCCGAGGCUCAACCUCGGGCCUGCAGUCGAUACGGGCAAACUAGAGUACUGCAGGGGAGACUGGAAUUCCUGGUGUAGCGGUGAAAUGCGCAGAUAUCAGGAGGAACACCGGUGGCGAAGGCGGGUCUCUGGGCAGUAACUGACGCUGAGGCACGAAAGUGUGGGGAUCAAACAGG